RNAcentral lists this unclassified non-coding RNA (395 nucleotides) under soil metagenome. RNAcentral's name for it is "partial contains 5.8S ribosomal RNA, internal transcribed spacer 2, and large subunit ribosomal RNA". The stretch from base 1 to 122 matches the Rfam family "5.8S ribosomal RNA", at positions 35 to 154 of the family's 154-position model. The record is from RNAcentral.
GAUGAAGAACGUAGCGAAAUGCGAUACUUGGUGUGAAUUGCAGAAUCCCGUGAACCAUCGAGUCUUUGAACGCAAGUUGCGCCCGAAGCCAUCAGGUUGAGGGCACGUCUGCCUGGGCGUCACAUAUCGUUGCCCAAUGCCUAUUGCAGUGCAAUAGGAAUUUCUAGGGCGAAUGAUGGCUUCCCGUGAGCGUUGUUGCCUCGCGGUUGGUCGAAAAUCGAGUCCUUGGUAGGGUGUGCCAUGGUAGAUGGUGGUCGAGUUAGAACGAUACCGAUCAUGUGCAUGCUCCCCAAAAUAUGGCCUCUAUGACCCACACGCGUCUUUUGACGCUCAUGACGAGACCUCAGGUCAGGCGGGGCUACCCGCUGAAUUUAAGCAUAUCAAUAAGCGGAGGA